GUAGGGAAUCUUCCACAAUGGACGAAAGUCUGAUGGAGCAACGCCGCGUGAACGAUGAAGGCCUUCGGGUCGUAAAGUUCUGUUGUAAGGGAAGAACAAGUGCCGCAGGCAAUGGCGGCACCUUGACGGUACCUUGCGAGAAAGCCACGGCUAACUACGUGCCAGCAGCCGCGGUAAUACGUAGGUGGCAAGCGUUGUCCGGAAUUAUUGGGCGUAAAGCGCGCGCAGGCGGCCUCUUAAGUCUGAUGUGAAAGCCCCCGGCUCAACCGGGGAGGGCCAUUGGAAACUGGGAGGCUUGAGUAUAGGAGAGAAGAGUGGAAUUCCACGUGUAGCGGUGAAAUGCGUAGAGAUGUGGAGGAACACCAGUGGCGAAGGCGACUCUUUGGCCUAUAACUGACGCUGAGGCGCGAAAGCGUGGGGAGCAAACAGGAUUAGAUACCCGGGUAGUCC
RNAcentral lists this ribosomal RNA (450 nucleotides) under uncultured bacterium. RNAcentral describes it as "partial 16S ribosomal RNA". It matches the Rfam family "Bacterial small subunit ribosomal RNA", at positions 354 to 796 of the family's 1533-position model. The record is from RNAcentral.